RNAcentral lists this ribosomal RNA (259 nucleotides) under uncultured bacterium. RNAcentral's name for it is "partial 16S ribosomal RNA". It matches the Rfam family "Bacterial small subunit ribosomal RNA", at positions 793 to 1055 of the family's 1533-position model. The record is from RNAcentral.
GUCCACGCCGUAAACUAUCAAUACUCGUUUUCGGGGACUUCGGUCUUCGGAGACUAAGCGAAAGUGAUAAGUAUUGCACCUGGGGAGUACGAUCGCAAGGUUGAAACUCAAAGGAAUUGACGGGGGCCCGCACAAGCGGUGGAGCAUGUGGUUUAAUUCGAUGAUACGCGAGGAACCUUACCAGGGCUUAAAUGUAGAGGGAAUAUAGUGGAAACAUUAUAGUCUUCGGACCGUCUACAAGGUGCUGCAUGGCUGUCGU